GUUAUCCAGGCGAUUGCGCAUACACAUCGCUGUAUGUGAGGAAAGUCCGAGCAGCACAGAGCAGGAUAACGGCUAACGGCCGCCGAGGGUGACCUUAGGGAAAGUGCAACAGAAAUAAACCGCUGUUUUUACAGUAAGGGUGGAAAGGCGAGGUAAGAGCUCACCGAGCAGAUGGAGACACCUGCUGCCAUGUAAACCCUAUCCGCUGCAACGUCAACAGGAGAGAUGCCUGCUCGGCACGUAACUCCGAAGGACGGCUUGAGCGUAUUGGCAACAAUACGUCGAGAUAGAUAAUCGCCCACGACAGAACUCGGCUUACGGGU
RNAcentral lists this RNase P RNA (323 nucleotides) under uncultured Eubacterium sp. RNAcentral describes it as "Bacterial RNase P class A". It matches the Rfam family "Bacterial RNase P class A". Rfam says of the family: Ribonuclease P (RNase P) is a ubiquitous endoribonuclease, found in archaea, bacteria and eukarya as well as chloroplasts and mitochondria. Its best characterised activity is the generation of mature 5'-ends of tRNAs by cleaving the 5'-leader elements of precursor-tRNAs. The record is from RNAcentral. Lineage: Bacteria; Bacillati; Bacillota; Clostridia; Eubacteriales; Eubacteriaceae.